CCAAACGUUUUCCCUUUAAGUUUUUUGGCAAAAAUCAAAGUCUUAAUUUAGAGAGAUUAGAGGAGGAGAAAAAAACCCUUCCACUACAUAUCAAAAGAAAGCCCAAAAUCGGAGUAAAGGCACUCUCUCUUUAGCUGCUUCCGCCGCAUCAUCACAUGCCAUCUUCGGCAGUUUUAGUACUCAAUGUACAGUUCAUACCAACAUGGUGUAUGAAAUUUAAUACCGUUGCGAUCUAAGUUCCUCGCCGCCCAAAAACCUAACUGGUCAAAGGUUUAUAAGCCAUGAAAAUAUGAGAAAGUUUUCAUUGCAAAACAAUCAAAUCUCUUGAAAUCAGAAACUGCUCUACUUGGUCUGAGUCCAUCCAACAGUUGGUAGGCAGGGGACAUGAUGCAAACUAUCUGUUUUGAUGAUAUAGUAGUUGGUAAUUUCUGGAAUUUUUGUUCACUUUAGUUUCAGUUUUCUCUUUUAUUUUUGUGCUAUUUGUGUAAUGGGUAUUCUGCAAUUAUGACAAAUACAAAGGUCUCGCUUCUACGUAUGAUAUUGAGCAAGUAUUGUUUAAGCCUUA
This is a long non-coding RNA of Nicotiana attenuata, 565 nucleotides long. RefSeq lists it as uncharacterized. NCBI's taxonomy places the organism in Eukaryota, Viridiplantae, Streptophyta, Magnoliopsida, Solanales, Solanaceae. The record is from RefSeq and is a predicted model, not a curated record. The transcript has 2 exons.